GACGAACGCUGGCGGCGUGCCUAAUACAUGCAAGUUGAGCGCUGAAGGUUGGUACUUGUACCAACUGGAUGAGCAGCGGACGGGUGAGUAACGCGUGGGGAAUCUGCCUUUGAGCGGGGGACAACAUUUGGAAACGAAUGCUAAUACCGCAUAAAAACUUUAAACACAAGUUUUAAGUUUGAAAGAUGCAAUUGCAUCACUCAAAGAUGAUCCCGCGUUGUAUUAGCUAGUUGGUGAGGUAAAGGCUCACCAAGGCGAUGAUACAUAGCCGACCUGAGAGGGUGAUCGGCCACAUUGGGACUGAGACAAGGCCCAAACUCCUACGGGAGGCAGCAGUAGGGAAUCCUCGGCAAUGGACGAAAGUCUGACCGAGCAACGCCGCGUGAGUGAAGAAGGGUUUCGGAUCGUAAAACUCUGUUGGUAGAGAAGAACGUUGGUGAGAGUGGAAAGCUCAUCAAGUGACGGUAACUACCCAGAAAGGGACGGCUAACUACGUG
RNAcentral lists this ribosomal RNA (497 nucleotides) under uncultured bacterium. Its description in RNAcentral is "partial 16S ribosomal RNA". It matches the Rfam family "Bacterial small subunit ribosomal RNA", at positions 28 to 507 of the family's 1533-position model. The record is from RNAcentral.